GACGAACGCUGGCGGCGUGCUUAACACAUGCAAGUCGAACGGAAAGGCCCUGCUUUUGUGGGGUGCUCGAGUGGCGAACGGGUGAGUAACACGUGAGUAAACUGCCCUUGACUUUGGGAUAACUUCAGGAAACUCGGGCUAAUAUCGGAUAGGAGCUCCUGCUGCAAGGUGGGGGUUGGAAAGUUUCGGAGGUAGGGGAUGGAUUCGCGGCUUAUCAGCUUGUUGGUGGGGUAGUGGCUUACCAAGGCUUUGACGGGUAGCCGACCUGGGCGGGUGACCGGCGACAUUAGGACUGAGAGACGCACCAGACUCCAACGGGAGGCAACAGUGGAAAGUAUUACGCAGUGGGGGGGAGCGUGAUGCGACGGCGUCGCGUGCGUAAUAACGGCCUUCGAUUUAUGAACCACUUUCGCAGGAAACGAAGAGUGAGUGACGGUAAUUGGUAAGGAAGCACCGGCUAACUACGUG
This 468-nucleotide ribosomal RNA is filed under the name uncultured bacterium. Its description in RNAcentral is "partial 16S ribosomal RNA". It matches the Rfam family "Bacterial small subunit ribosomal RNA", at positions 28 to 507 of the family's 1533-position model. The record is from RNAcentral.